AUUGAACGCUGGCGGCAGGCCUAACACAUGCCAGUCGAGCGGAUGAAGGGAGCUUGCUCCUGGAUUCAGCGGCGGACGGGUGGGUAAUGCCUAGGAAUCUGCCUGGUAGUGGGGGAUAACGUCCGGAAACGGGCGCUAAUACCGCAUACGUCCUGAGGGAGAAAGUGGGGGAUCUUCGGACCUCACGCUAUCAGAUGAGCCUAGGUCGGAUUAGCUAGUUGGUGGGGUAAAGGCCUACCAAGGCGACGAUCCGUAACUGGUCUGAGAGGAUGAUCAGUCACACUGGAACUGAGACACGGUACAGACUCCUACGGGAGGCAGCAGUGGGGAAUAUUGGACAAUGGGCGAAAGCCUGAUCCAGCCAUGCCGCGUGUGUGAAGAAGGUCUUCGGAUUGUAAAGCACUUUAAGUUGGGAGGAAGGGCAGUAAGUUAAUACCUUGCUGUUUUGACGUUACCAACAGAAUAAGCACCGGCGAACUUCGU
Molecule: ribosomal RNA, 483 nt
Filed under: uncultured bacterium
Lineage: Bacteria
Description: partial 16S ribosomal RNA
Rfam family: Bacterial small subunit ribosomal RNA
Source: RNAcentral